RNAcentral lists this ribosomal RNA (99 nucleotides) under Bos taurus (domestic cattle). Its description in RNAcentral is "partial 28S ribosomal RNA". It matches the Rfam family "Eukaryotic large subunit ribosomal RNA", at positions 920 to 1002 of the family's 3401-position model. Lineage: Eukaryota; Metazoa; Chordata; Mammalia; Artiodactyla; Bovidae. The record is from RNAcentral.
GGGGCGAAAGACUAAUCGAACCAUCUAGUAGCUGGUUCCCUCCGAAGUUUCCCUCAGGAUAGCUGGCGCUCUCGCAAACGCACAGACCCACGCAGUUUU